ACCUCUUGAACGCAUAUUGCGGCCGCAGGAUAUCCUGUGGCCACGCCUGGCCGAGGGUCGGCUUAUAAACUAUCACGACGCACAAUAAGUCGUGGCUUGGAUGUGUGCCAGCUGGCGUGAUUUCCUGCUUCUUUGAAGUGGGGUGCCAGAUCAAUGGCUCCUUCCUAAUGUGUCCAGCUACACCCAAGUCCGUAAAUGAUAAAUAGCGGAUAGGGUUGUGGUGAUGGAUAGUGCUCAGGUCGUGGCUUAAUGAGAACGGUAGAAACGUUCACGCCUGAUGUCAUUGUCUGUUGCCUCGCCCGAAUUUGGACUGGCUCUGUAACUGAUGAUUUUAUAUAUAUGACCCUGACCUCGGAUCAGACGUGAUUACCCGCUGAACUUAAGCAUAUCACUAAGCGGAGGAAAAGAAACUAAC
Molecule: ribosomal RNA, 415 nt
Filed under: Euclinostomum heterostomum
Lineage: Eukaryota; Metazoa; Platyhelminthes; Trematoda; Strigeidida; Clinostomidae
Description: eukaryotic LSU rRNA
Rfam family: Eukaryotic large subunit ribosomal RNA (bases 347-415)
Source: RNAcentral